This 1235-nucleotide long non-coding RNA is filed under the name Zea mays. RNAcentral describes it as "long non-coding RNA (ZMAY_LNC002112)". Lineage: Eukaryota; Viridiplantae; Streptophyta; Magnoliopsida; Poales; Poaceae. The record is from RNAcentral.
GUAUUAAUUUGAUUACAUCAUGAUGCCCGAGACAUCCACUUAGUCAUUAACAUAGAUCAAAGUGCGAAAACAAAACGUAGCAAUACACGGCCUUCACAGGCAGCCGACUGGGGUUUGCCGCUAACCCACGCCUAGAACUUGUCAUAAUCUUGGAACUCCUAAAAAUCCUCCACCACGACUUCAUCUUAUCCUGAGCAGUGGUUGCAAUGCGGACAACCUGGUGGGUUUGGUGUUGUAAAGCAAGGGUGAGUACACAUCAACAUACUCAGCAAUUGUCCCAUUUGGUUGAGGUGGACUGGCUUUAUAUGAGGUUAGGAUCAAAGCAGUUGCUUUUAGUUGGUCAGGUAAUUAUUACUAGUAGAGAGUCAGGUUUUAGCAUUAAACCCAAGUUAUUAGCUCAAAAGUACUCCUUCCAAACGGAAAGAAUACCUGAAACCAUAAUAAUAGUCAUAACUAUCAAAACCAUAAUUAACCUUAUCAUCAUAUGUGAUCAUAGUAUCUCUAAUCAAAGGAGCUCCCAAGGCCGCUCAUAAUCAUGAGCACGGCCGAUAUAUCAGUUUUAUAACACUCUGCAGAGGCUGCACACUUUACCCAUGAGCUGUGAUUCCUUUUUGCCUAGGGCCGAUCAAGCCCUUAAACACUAGCAAGGUGAGUAGGCAAGGUUUCACUUCGUAGCCUUUACGAAGAUUCAUCGAGAUGCAGUCGCCUGUUAGGUUUCCUAAAUGUACUGCACUCCUCCCCAAUGGGAAACCCAUCCUCGGCAGAGCGAGCCGCAUACAUCGAGCCCUAUUAACGGCAUGGCAGCGAAGCAAACUACACCUCAGUUCCUCUAAUUAAUUAGCUAAGGGUGUCCCAUUCCACCCUCAUGGUUGUACUGUUAUCCCGGGUGGUCAUCCAACGAACCAGUCAUUACGGAGAGGCACUCGAGAAACCGCUCGAGCCCCCUUAAGUAUCAUAAUGCCAUCAUCAUAUCCAGAAGUAAGCAUCAUAUCAUAAAUAAUCUCAUGUUCAUUAAUUAUAGUAAAGCGCUAGCAUAGAGCUAAUCCAAAAAUAAUCCAACCCAAAUAGGUGAACAAGGACAAGAUAAACAAAUACGUACAAAUUAUGUAAACGCGGGGGAUGAAUUAUAAAAUGAGUAGGACAUAAGUAGGUCAGAGGACACUUGCCUUCACCAACCAGCUGCUGCUUAGGGUCUUCGCCUGCAACUUCCUCGGACUCCGCAAACGGACCAUUAU